RNAcentral lists this ribosomal RNA (554 nucleotides) under uncultured Leptolyngbya sp. RNAcentral describes it as "bacterial LSU rRNA". It matches the Rfam family "Bacterial large subunit ribosomal RNA", at positions 1887 to 2430 of the family's 2925-position model. The record is from RNAcentral. Lineage: Bacteria; Bacillati; Cyanobacteriota; Cyanophyceae; Leptolyngbyales; Leptolyngbyaceae.
CGGCCGCGUCGACGGCUAACGCCUGAAGCUAGCGACUGAAGCCCCGGUGAACGGCGGCCGUAACUAUAACGGUCCUAAGGUAGCGAAAUUCCUUGUCGGGUAAGUUCCGACCCGCACGAAAGGCGUAACGAUUUGGGCGCUGUCUCGGAGAGAGGCUCGGCGAAAUAGGAUUGUCUGUGAAGAUACGGACUACCUGCACCUGGACAGAAAGACCCUAUGAAGCUUUACUGUAGCCUGGAAUUGGGUUCGGGCUUUAACUGCGCAGGAUAGGUGGGAGGCUAUGAGGCUGUUCUUGUGGGAACAGUGGAGCCAACGGUGAGAUACCACUCUGUUAAGGCUAGAAUUCUAACUUGUUGCCGUUAUCCGGCACGAGAACAGUUUCAGGUGGGCAGUUUGACUGGGGCGGUCGCCUCCUAAAUGGUAACGGAGGCGCGCAAAGGUUCUCUCAGGCUGGUUGGAAAUCAGCCGUAGAGUGUAAAAGCACAAGAGAGCUUGACUGUGAGACGAACAUGUCGAGCAGGGACGAAAGUCGGCUUUAGUGAUCCGACGGCAGG